GAAAUAUGCAUGGGAGUAAGAACUCAGGAGUGUUUUCUGAUUUGCAAUGGCAAUUAGGAUAUAACUAUUAGCAAUAUACUUCUAAGUUCUAAUCUGCAUUCAUAUGCCUGCAGUGAACUAAUUUGUAUAUCCAAAGCAUAUGAAUAUUCCAGUACUUCACUACUUCUGGCACUAUAAGCUGCAUUAUCUCACAGGGCACAUCUGGAUGAUCAAACACAGGUCCUCAAACCAGUGGUGCUGCUAAAGAGCCUGGAUAAGUAAAGCGACCCGAAAAGAGCUCAUAUAAAUGAUUCCAUGCGGAUCAGGCCAAUCAAGUUUGAUUUUACACUCAUUAGCUAUCUUAAUGUACUAGAACUUACAAUGUAUUUUUUAAUCGUUAUGCCCUUUUGUAGACCUGUAGAACUUGAGACUUUGUGAACCUGAACAGUCUGUGCCCUUUUGUUAAGUCUAAACAUGUGGACAUGGAAUGUAUUUUUAUGACAUUUGAAUAGAAUGUUGCCUGUUAGAAAUGGAGUACA
Molecule: long non-coding RNA, 518 nt
Organism: Panicum virgatum (switchgrass)
Lineage: Eukaryota; Viridiplantae; Streptophyta; Magnoliopsida; Poales; Poaceae
Exons: 2
Source: RefSeq, a predicted model, not a curated record